This is a long non-coding RNA of Gadus chalcogrammus (walleye pollock), 2108 nucleotides long. RefSeq lists it as uncharacterized. The transcript has 5 exons. The record is from RefSeq and is a predicted model, not a curated record. NCBI's taxonomy places the organism in Eukaryota, Metazoa, Chordata, Actinopteri, Gadiformes, Gadidae.
CCCGGCGGUGGACGGCUGGGGGAUCCGGCAGUGGAGGUCCGAAGGCGGCUCGUGAUUAGACCAACCAGCUCCUCAUCCAUGGAAGGAUUGAAGGAGUCACUGGGGAUGAAGAUCACUGCUCAGGGGCUGACGACCCCCCCCCCCCCCCCCCCCUCAUCUUUCCGGAGAAGCGUCCUCAUGGUGCAGGCGGUCAAACCUCCACCUCUUUGAAGAGACAAGCAGCUUGAUGACUGACUGGUUCUUUAUACUCAAGACCUCGUCCCGGAGCAGUGGACGGACCUAAGGCCUGCAGCGCAGCCGACUAGAGACUCCAUGUGGAACCGGUUCAAUUAAGUUGACCUCUCCUUCAGGCGACUUAAAGGGAGACCAGAUUUGCGGCAGCUGGGUGUCAUGGUGCAGAGACCCAACGCUGUACUGAACUACACCAGUGUGUCCUACUCCCAUAAACACUGAGGAUCCCUGGAUGGCUACACCAGCACAUUAAUCCACACCCAACAUCAACACACAGUGCACACUCUAUAGAGCUCGUAAGUCCGCCCCUUGCGGCGGGACCUUGUGAGAUCGUAAGAUAUGACUGGGUUUCAAUGGAGAGAAAGUAAUUAUUUUCUCCAUUUUAUGUUGCACCACAUUUUGGGGGAAGAAUGUUUGAAUCAAUCUUUGUCAUUUAUUUCUGUACUCCAUAUCUGUAAUCCCAGCUGUUGUAUUUUAACACGGUAGCUGGGAACCCUCUUUAUAGGGAGCGACUAGAGGGACGAGGCUGGAAGCAAACCUGAGCCUGGAUCUUAACCUUCUUUCUAAACCUAAUGCCGCAAUUUAACCGCAAAUAAAGUGAGGCCUAAAGUAACUUGACUCUCUUGCCUAAACUUGCUUGCCUAAACUCGCUUGUCUAAACUCGCUUGGAUAAAACCUAAACUCGCUUGCAUAAAACCUGAACUUGCUUGGCUAAACUCGCGUCGCUUGCCUAAUACCUGAACUUGCUUGCCUAAACUCGCUUGCCUAAACUCGCUUGCCUAAACUCGCUUGCCUAAACUCGCUUGCCUAAACUCGCUUGCCUAAACUCGCUUGCCUAAACUCGCUUGCCUAAACUCGCUUGCCUAAUACCUGAACUCGCUUGCAUAAAACCUAAACUUACUUAGCUUGACUCGCUUGCCUGUACUCGCUUGCAUAAAACCUAAACUCGCUUGGCUAAACUCGCUUGCCUGUACUCGCUUGGCUAAACUCGCUUGCCUAAACUCGCUUGCCUAAUACCUGAACUCGCUUGCAUAAAACCUAAACUUGCUUAGCUUGACUCGCUUGCCUGUACUCGCUUGGCUAAACUCGCUUGCAUAAAACCUAAACAAGCUUAGCUUGACUCGCUUGCCUGUACUCGCUUGCCUAAUACCUGAAGUCGCUUGCCUGAAGUCGCAUGCCUAAUACCUGAAGUCGCUUGCCUAAAACCUAAACUUGCUUGUCCAAACACGUUACACAAAGUUAACCAUCCAUAAUCUUUAACCCAAACCAGACUUGUCCCUGGGUCGCUCCACUUUAAUCUAGAAGUUUCUUCUUUUACCUCAUCUACGUUGAGUUUCAUUCUUUGAGGGCUUGAAGUGCUUUGGAGGAUAUUUGAACCUUUGUUUGCCGCAUCAAUAAACAUGCUUUAUCUUUACCCAUUUUGUUUUGGAUUUCAUUUCUAUGUGUAAUCCGGCCAAAUGUUCAGUGUCCUUACAUGUAAUGUCUAUGGUCUGACGAUAAUCUGACCUCUUCAUGAAGCAGAAUGUGUGUGAAUGUUGUCCCGUGAGCUCCAGGCUCUCUGUGGGCCUGUCAACGUCUCUUUAGCAAAAGGUUGGAGAGUGAGAUUCAUUUUUGUGCCAUUUUCAUGUGUUCCUGAGUAUUUCAGACCUGUGGUGUUUCACAUGAGACCUUAAUGGGAACUUUUCUUUUUCUGCCUGCAUACGUAAUGCCUACAUUAGUAGGGUGAUCACUGUUGAUUCCAAUAUUGAUCAUCAACCACCUCAUUCUUUGGGAUUACAAAUCAUGUAAUUUAUGAGCAUAUUUGCAAAUGCCUCCAAAUAUCAGAUUGUGUAAAAACGAAUGAAAUGUAACCGGCUUGAUUUAAAGAAAAUAAAACA